CCUACGGGUUGCAGCAGUAGGGAAUCUUCCGCAAUGACGAAAGUCUGACGGAGCAACGCCGCGUGAGUGAUGAAGGCUUUCGGGUCGUAAAACUCUGUUGUUGGGAAGAACAAGUGCUAGUUGAAUAAGCUGGCACCUUGACGGUACCUAACCAGAAAGCCACGGCUAACUACGUGCCAGCAGCCGCGGUAAUACGUAGGUGGCAAGCGUUAUCCGGAAUUAUUGGGCGUAAAGCGCGCGCAGGUGGUUUCUUAAGUCUGAUGUGAAAGCCCACGGCUCAACCGUGGAGGGUCAUUGGAAACUGGGAGACCUGAGUGCAGAAGAGGAAAGUGGAAUUCCAUGUGUAGCGGUGAAAUGCGUAGAGAUAUGGAGGAACACCAGUGGCGAAGGCGACUUUCUGGUCUGUAACUGACACUGAGGCGCGAAAGCGUGGGGAGCAAACGGGAUUAGAUACCCUCGUAGUC
This 464-nucleotide ribosomal RNA is filed under the name uncultured bacterium. Its description in RNAcentral is "bacterial SSU rRNA". It matches the Rfam family "Bacterial small subunit ribosomal RNA", at positions 338 to 795 of the family's 1533-position model. The record is from RNAcentral.